Molecule: transfer RNA, 77 nt
Filed under: Chloroflexota bacterium
Lineage: Bacteria; Bacillati; Chloroflexota
Description: Chloroflexi bacterium (anaerobic digester metagenome) tRNA-Asp
Rfam family: tRNA
About the family: Transfer RNA (tRNA) molecules are approximately 80 nucleotides in length. Their secondary structure includes four short double-helical elements and three loops (D, anti-codon, and T loops). Further hydrogen bonds mediate the characteristic L-shaped molecular structure. tRNAs have two regions of fundamental functional importance: the anti-codon, which is responsible for specific mRNA codon recognition, and the 3' end, to which the tRNAs corresponding amino acid is attached (by aminoacyl-tRNA synthetases). tRNAs cope with the degeneracy of the genetic code in two manners: having more than one tRNA (with a specific anti-codon) for a particular amino acid; and 'wobble' base-pairing, i.e. permitting non-standard base-pairing at the 3rd anti-codon position.
Source: RNAcentral
GGAGGCGUAGUGUAGCGGUCUAACACGUCGGCCUGUCAAGCCGAAGAUCGCGGGUUCGAUUCCCGUCGCUUCCGCCA